GAAAGGAAGGGGGAGGUUUUGCAGGGGAUUCUCCUCCCCUACACCUUGAAGGCUCCAAAAAUAACCACAGCGCCGAUUUGUUUUUCUAUUGCGGGGGCGGGUCCUUGAAGGGGCAAAAUUGGUAUUUGGAAAAUUGGAAGCCCUUCUUCCUUUCUCGCAGGCGCCUCUCUCGUCUUUGCAGUCGCACUUCUCUGUUCUCCCUCUCAGCCUCGGGUCUCACUCUAGCUGUCUCAGAGACGCAUCACACAGCCUAAGAGACUCAGACUCAGCUCUCGGUCGGUGUCGAUCGGCCUCGCCGCCUUGGCCUUCAUUCCAUUCCACCCUUCUUCAUUCUCUAACUUCUUCAAUGGUGGCAGAGUAGCAGACUGGGAAUGGGAGCUCGAGCUCAAGCUCGUCUUCGCCUUCGCCUUCGUCUUCUUCACUCUUCACUGAGCUCAGAAGCGAUCGAAGGUUACAUUCUUCACUCUUCUCUGACCUUCGUUUUCUUCACCGUUAAAAACAGUAGCGUCGACCGUCAAGUCUUCACCCUUCUCGUUUUCAUCUUAUCCCCCACUGUCAGACUUCUUUCUUACAACCUAAGGGGCCCAAAUGGUUGCAGAGCAUCCUAGAAGCAUUUGUACCAGACAAACAGUGAUAUUGCUUUUACGGUGGAGAUAUGUUACUUCUAUAUCCAAUUUGUUUCUGAAUCCCAUCAAAUAUCCAAAAUUUAUGUGAAUAUUUGGUAAUGUUUGGAAGAAUAUUAGCAGACAUUAGCUACGUUUUGCUUGUGGAAUUAAUGUAGAUAGUCUUGAAUUUAACUUUUGUUAUUAAAUGCUGAAUUGAAGCUGGUUGAAGUGCUUUAGAGGAGACUUUACUUGUUACGCUAGUGCUGCAUUGGGUUAUCAUGAGCAUUAUGCUAAAAUGGAUGAGAGCACUGGUUGGAAAAAUACCUGCAUAAAUGGUAUUCUCUCAUUAGGCUCAAGAGUGGAACGAGAAUAAUUUCCGUUGGCAUCCAUCUGUCAUGUCUAUUUCACAGAGCAGACCCUUUAUUUUGCUUUUUGUUUUUUGGUUUCUCUUGUUUUCUGUCAUCAGUUAAAUUUAACUUGGUUCAAUGGUUUUUAUGACAGUCAUUAUUAUUCAUUUUGGAAA
This is an RNA transcript of Prosopis cineraria, 1128 nucleotides long. RefSeq lists it as uncharacterized. The transcript is spliced from 2 exons. The record is from RefSeq and is a predicted model, not a curated record. NCBI's taxonomy places the organism in Eukaryota, Viridiplantae, Streptophyta, Magnoliopsida, Fabales, Fabaceae.